UUCGCCAGGGAACAACGAGCCCCAGCUUAAAACCCAAAGGACUUGGCGGUGCUUUAGACCCCCCUAGAGGAGCCUGUUCUAGAACCGAUACUCCCCGUUCAACCUCACCCCCUCUUGCUCUUCCCGCCUAUAUACCGCCGUCGUCAGCUUACCCUGUGAAGGAUCAACAGUAAGCAGAAUUGGCAAAGCCUAAAACGUCAGGUCGAGGUGUAGCGAACGAGGGGGAAAGAAAUGGGCUACAUUUACUGUACCAGUAAACACGAACAUUGCACUGAAAUGAGCAUUUGAAGGAGGAUUUAGCAGUAAGAGGGGAAUAGAGAGCCCCCCUGAAAAUGGCCCUUAAGCGCGCACACACCGCCCGUCACUCUCCCCGACAUACGAUAACUCAUAAAUAAUAAAAACUAUAAAACAAGGGGAGGCAAGUCGUAACAUGGUAAGUGUACCGGAAGGUGCACUUGGAAAAACA
RNAcentral lists this ribosomal RNA (466 nucleotides) under Mahidolia mystacina (flagfin prawn goby). Its description in RNAcentral is "partial 12S ribosomal RNA". It matches the Rfam family "Bacterial small subunit ribosomal RNA", at positions 868 to 1533 of the family's 1533-position model. The record is from RNAcentral. Lineage: Eukaryota; Metazoa; Chordata; Actinopteri; Gobiiformes; Gobiidae.